This 21-nucleotide microRNA is filed under the name Macaca mulatta (Rhesus monkey). RNAcentral's name for it is "mml-miR-628-3p". Its record names the gene mml-miR-628-3p. Lineage: Eukaryota; Metazoa; Chordata; Mammalia; Primates; Cercopithecidae. The record is from miRBase by way of RNAcentral. RNAcentral also lists the same sequence under 3 other names.
UCUAGUAAGAGUGGCAGUCGA